UACGUAGGGGGCAAGCGUUGUCCGGAUUUAUUGGGCGUAAAGAGCUCGUAGGCGGUUUGUCGCGUCUGCUGUGAAAACCCGAGGCUCAACCUCGGGCCUGCAGUGGGUACGGGCAGACUAGAGUGCGGUAGGGGAGAUUGGAAUUCCUGGUGUAGCGGUGGAAUGCGCAGAUAUCAGGAGGAACACCAAUGGCGAAGGCAGAUCUCUGGGCCGUAACUGACGCUGAGGAGCGAAAGCAUGGGGGAGCGAACAGG
RNAcentral lists this ribosomal RNA (254 nucleotides) under uncultured bacterium. RNAcentral describes it as "partial 16S ribosomal RNA". It matches the Rfam family "Bacterial small subunit ribosomal RNA", at positions 524 to 776 of the family's 1533-position model. The record is from RNAcentral.